Molecule: long non-coding RNA, 352 nt
Filed under: Physcomitrium patens
Lineage: Eukaryota; Viridiplantae; Streptophyta; Bryopsida; Funariales; Funariaceae
Description: long non-coding RNA (PPAT_LNC004896)
Source: RNAcentral
UAAUUAAUCAUUUGCUAGUAAGUUACAUUUUCAAUAAUUCCAAAGAAAAUCCAUAAUCUCUUCUCAAAAACUCAUCUUUAUAUCAAAAUUUAACCAUAGCUCUAUACAUCCAUCUUCAAUAUAUAUGUAAAGUCAUGACUUCCAAAAAAUCCCUUUACUUUGUAUAAAAUGCUCAAUUUAUAAUAAAACUCCUUCAAAAUAUAUUUUUCCCAUAUAGGUUUUCUUCUUCCCAAACUUUAGAAAUUCAUAUCUCUCGAUCUAACCAUUUAGUUUUUGUCAAAUUUAAAAAUUAUAUAAAAUUUACUUUUAAGCUUUAUUUCAAAAAUAUUCAAUUAUAAAUUUAUUACCAAUC